GAUGAAGAACGUAGCGAAAUGCGAUACUUGGUGUGAAUUGCAGAAUCCCGUGAACCAUCGAGUCUUUGAACGCAAGUUGCGCCCGAAGCCAUUAGGCCGAGGGCACGCCUGCCUGGGCGUCACACGUCGUUGCCCCCCCAUCUACUCCUUCGGGAUUGCGGGGGGCGGAUGAUGGCCUCCCGUGCGCCACGCCGCGCGGUUGGCAUAAAUGCCAAGUCCUCGGCGACGCACGCCACGACAAUCGGUGGUUGCGAAACCUCGGUUGCCCAUCGUGUGCGGUCGUCGCGCAUCGAGGGCUCGAAAAAAUUGCCGGGUUCCGGCUCGGCUUUCAACGCGACCCCAGGUCAGGCGGGGUUACCCGCUGAAUUUAAGCAUAUCAAUAAGCGGAGGA
RNAcentral lists this unclassified non-coding RNA (391 nucleotides) under soil metagenome. RNAcentral describes it as "partial contains 5.8S ribosomal RNA, internal transcribed spacer 2, and large subunit ribosomal RNA". The stretch from base 1 to 122 matches the Rfam family "5.8S ribosomal RNA", at positions 35 to 154 of the family's 154-position model. The record is from RNAcentral.